Anthonomus grandis grandis is the source of this 416-nucleotide long non-coding RNA. RefSeq lists it as uncharacterized. Lineage: Eukaryota; Metazoa; Arthropoda; Insecta; Coleoptera; Curculionidae. The record is from RefSeq and is a predicted model, not a curated record. The transcript is spliced from 2 exons.
AUAUAUCGUAUUUUUCACAAAAAGUAUUGGCAUUCUAAUGUGGAAUAUAAAAACGUAAUAAUAAGUAAAGGGUUCCAUUUAAAAUUACGAAGUUAACAUCUACUUCGACGUGUUUCCUGAAGACUCGUCUCCAGAUAAAUUUAUUUCAUAUGAUGGAUAGUUGUCACAGUAUUAAAGUCGCAAUAGGCAAGCUACUGAGAACAACAUAUAAGAUGGAAAAAUCAUUCUCGAUAUUCUCUGAACAAUUUUUGGAGCUACGCAAUUUGUCCAGGAUGGUGUAUUAUCAACGGACGGCAAUUACUGCUCACGGAUACUUCGAGAUUAAUAGAUUAACUAUUUUUUAUUUUUUAUAUAAUACGUCAACAUAUUUUGUUGUGCUUGUACAAUAUUAUCGUAAAUAAGAUUGGGUUAUUAUA